This 720-nucleotide ribosomal RNA is filed under the name uncultured bacterium. RNAcentral describes it as "bacterial SSU rRNA". It matches the Rfam family "Bacterial small subunit ribosomal RNA", at positions 28 to 776 of the family's 1533-position model. The record is from RNAcentral.
GAUGAACGCUGGCGGCGUGCCUAACACAUGCAAGUCGAGCGAUCUUCUUCGGAAGAGAGCGGCGGACGGGUGAGUAACGCGUGGGUAACCUGCCCUGUACACACGGAUAACAUACCGAAAGGUAUGCUAAUACGGGAUGAUAUAUGAAAGUCGCAUGGCUUUCAUAUCAAAGCUCCGGCGGUACAGGAUGGACCCGCGUCUGAUUAGCUAGUUGGUAAGGUAACGGCUUACCAAGGCGACGAUCAGUAGCCGACCUGAGAGGGUGAUCGGCCACACUGGAACUGAGACACGGUCCAGACUCCUACGGGAGGCAGCAGUGGGGAAUAUUGCACAAUGGGCGAAAGCCUGAUGCAGCAACGCCGCGUGAGCGAUGAAGGCCUUCGGGUCGUAAAGCUCUGUCCUCAAGGAAGAUAAUGACGGUACUUGAGGAGGAAGCCCCGGCUAACUACGUGCCAGCAGCCGCGGUAAUACGUAGGGGGCUAGCGUUAUCCGGAAUUACUGGGCGUAAAGGGUGCGUAGGCGGUCUUUCAAGCCAGAAGUGAAAGGCUACGGCUCAACCGUAGUAAGCUUUUGGAACUGUAGGACUUGAGUGCAGGAGAGGAGAGUAGAAUUCCUAGUGUAGCGGUGAAAUGCGUAGAUAUUAGGAGGAAUACCAGUAGCGAAGGCGGCUCUCUGGACUGUAACUGACGCUGAGGCACGAAAGCGUGGGGAGCAAACAGG